Molecule: transfer RNA, 77 nt
Filed under: Patescibacteria group bacterium
Lineage: Bacteria
Description: tRNA-Val
Rfam family: tRNA
About the family: Transfer RNA (tRNA) molecules are approximately 80 nucleotides in length.
Source: RNAcentral
GGGCGUAUAGCUCAGUUGGUUAGAGCGUCACAUUGACAUUGUGAAGGUCUCUGGUUCGAAUCCAGAUACGCCCACCA